UCGAUGUUUUUUCCAGUACUUUAG
RNAcentral lists this microRNA (24 nucleotides) under Spodoptera frugiperda (fall armyworm). Its description in RNAcentral is "sfr-miR-10488-5p". The record is from miRBase by way of RNAcentral. Lineage: Eukaryota; Metazoa; Arthropoda; Insecta; Lepidoptera; Noctuidae.